AAUAGAUACCCUGGUAGUCCACGCCGUAAGCGAUGAGUGCUAAGUGUUAGAGGGUUUCCGCCCUUUAGUGCUGCAGCUAACGCAUUAAGCACUCCGCCUGGGGAGUACGGCCGCAAGGCUGAAACUCAAAGGAAUUGACGGGGGCCCGCACAAGCGGUGGAGCAUGUGGUUUAAUUCGAAGCAACGCGAAGAACCUUACCAGGUCUUGACAUCCUCUGCCAACCCUAGAGAUAGGGCGUUCCCCUUCGGGGGACAGAGUGACAGGUGGUGCAUGGUUGUCGUCAGCUCGUGUCGUGAGAUGUUGGGUUAAGUCCCGCAACGAGCGCAACCCUUGAUCUUAGUUGCCAGCAUUCAGUUGGGCACUCUAAGGUGACUGCCGGUGACAAACCGGAGGAAGGUGGGGAUGACGUCAAAUCAUCAUGCCCCUUAUGACCUGGGCUACACACGUGCUACAAUGGAUGGUACAAAGAGCUGCGAACCCGCGAGGGUAAGCGAAUCUCAUAAAGCCAUUCUCAGUUCGGAUUGU
Molecule: ribosomal RNA, 526 nt
Filed under: uncultured bacterium
Lineage: Bacteria
Description: bacterial SSU rRNA
Rfam family: Bacterial small subunit ribosomal RNA
Source: RNAcentral